RNAcentral lists this ribosomal RNA (594 nucleotides) under uncultured Streptomycetaceae bacterium. Its description in RNAcentral is "bacterial SSU rRNA". It matches the Rfam family "Bacterial small subunit ribosomal RNA", at positions 296 to 916 of the family's 1533-position model. Lineage: Bacteria; Bacillati; Actinomycetota; Actinomycetes; Kitasatosporales; Streptomycetaceae. The record is from RNAcentral.
ANGGANGUNCUGCAGUCGACGAUUCCUACGGGAGGCAGCAGCAGGGAAUAUUGCACAAUGGGCGAAAGCCUGAUGCAGCGACGCCGCGUGGGGGAUGAAUGCCUUCGGGUUGUAAACCCCUUUCAGGAGGGACGAAGCGAAAGUGACGGUACCUCCAGAAGAAGCCCCGGCCAACUACGUGCCAGCAGCCGCGGUAAUACGUAGGGGGCGAGCGUUGUCCGGAUUUAUUGGGCGUAAAGAGCUCGUAGGCGGCUCAGCAAGUCGGCCGUGAAAGCCCAGGGCUCAACCCUGGGACGCCGGUCGAAACUGCUGUGGCUAGGGUCCGGUAGAGGAGAGUGGAAUUCCCGGUGUAGCGGUGAAAUGCGCAGAUAUCGGGAGGAACACCAGUAGCGAAGGCGGCUCUCUGGGCCGGUACCGACGCUGAGGAGCGAAAGCUAGGGGAGCAAACAGGAUUAGAUACCCUGGUAGUCCUAGCCGUAAACGUUGGACACUAGGUGUGGCGGAUUCAUUGACGUCUGCCGUGCCGAAGCUAACGCAUUAAGUGUCCCGCCUGGGGAGUACGGUCGCAAGGCUAAAACUCAAAGGAAUUGACGG